This 297-nucleotide ribosomal RNA is filed under the name Chilechiton lynnae. Its description in RNAcentral is "partial 28S ribosomal RNA". Lineage: Eukaryota; Metazoa; Arthropoda; Insecta; Hemiptera; Eriococcidae. The record is from RNAcentral.
GAGCCCGUGAAUCUGGGCGGCGGAAUUCAGAGUUGACUGGCGCGCUUUYGUGGUGUGUCGGGCUGUUUGAUAUUUCCGUCGCCGCGUAGACGUCGCGACCUGUUCGAUGUCGGUCCUUGCUCGGAGGAACCGCGGGCGAGUUCAGUGCGGGGCGCAUUUCGGUGUGCUUUCGCGGUGAAGYCGCGGACUUCUGGCCGACUUGUCGGACAGUAAGCGGAACGGUGUCCGGUGUCCGCUACCUUCGGUGCGCGGCACCGGUGCCGGUCGGCGACGAUUUCUUCGGGCCUCUGUCCGACC